GCUCCUCCUGGAAACGGCCAGGACGGCAGGCGACGCCACCGACUGACUCUCCCCUCAGGAACACAUGGCGGAAAAUUAAAAAUAAAACUCCCCAGCCGAACAAGGUUGGGUAAGGCCUGGCCCGAAGAUUUGAGAACUACAAAUAUUACGCUCUCGUUCAAAAAAAGCUGGACACAAGUCCAGAAAUUUCAGACCAGUGAUUUUAACUUCAGUGGUGGACAAACUUCCAGGAACAAUUAUUUGGGUUAGAACUGAUGUUCACAUGUUAAAAUGUGAGUUACUUCAGAAAAUUCAGCAUGGAUUAAGGGAAAAUCAUUUCUCACGAAGUUGCUGGACAUUUUAGAAAAGGUAACUGGGAGGGCUGACGAGGGCAAGGCUGUUGAUAUGGUGUGCGCAGGCUUCCAAAUGGCAUUUGAGACAGUCACGCAACAGGCUUUUGAGGAAUGUGAUAGGUCUUGGAAUUGAAUAGACAGUGGUAAUGUGGAUGGACAAUUGGCUGAAGGAUAAAAUAUUGAGUCAUGGUUAAUGAGUUGGUUUCAGGCUGGAGUAAUGUUUGUAGUGAAGAUUCCACAGGGGUUGGUAUUGGGACCCUUGCUUUCCCUGACAUAGAUAAAUGAUCCAUUUCUUGCCAUGAAGCCACCAGUUUCAAAGUAUGUGGAUGCACAAAAUUUGGAGGAAUUGUUAACUGUGAGGGGGAUAGUGUAGAACUUCAAAAAGACAUUGAUAAGCUGGUAUAGUGGGUGGACAGGUGGCACAUGAAAUUCAAUGUAGAAAGGUUUGAGGUCAUACACUUUGGGACAAAGAACGUGGAGAGACAAUAUGAGAUAAAGGAGUACUAUUCUAACGGUGCACAGGAACAAAAAGACCUGAGUGUAUUUAUACUUAAGUCAUGAAAGGUGGCAGGACAGGUAGAAAGAGCAGUUAAUAAAGCAUACUGUAUUAUAUGCUUCAUUAAUAGGGGCAUAGAGUACAGGAGCAGGGAGGUUAAGCUGUAUAUGACAUUUGUUAUACUUCAACUAGAGUAUUUGUACAGUUCUAGGUGCCACACUUUUGGUAUAAAGGUUGUGAAUGCAUUGGAGAGAGAGCAGAAGAGCUUAAUGAUGGGAAAAGGCAGGAGUUUCGCAUUACGUCAAAAUGCUCAGAGAGCUGGCCCUGACAUGAUAAGCCAAACAGCCUUCUUCUGCAGAAUAACAGUUCUCUGAUUCUCUGAGUCAUUGUUGGACUGCAACAGGGGCCACUUUGGACUGGGUUGAGUUGGGGGGAUCGGGGUCACAGCAUGUCAGUUGGAGGGGUGGUACUGUAGGUGGAGAUUCAGUGGUGAGGGAGGCUGGGUCAUUUCAAUUGUUACCCGCAAGUUAGAGUAGGUUAGUAACCCUCUGAUGUCUCCUGGGUAAUUGUUAGCUUAAAUGAGUCAAUACCCUCUGAAAUCUCUGACUUUAAUGGACUUUUUCAGAGGGUUCCAGACGCGCGGGAAUUACGUAUCAUGAAAUUGAAUUUUCCAAGCAAUUCCAAUAGAGUGUUGGGCACUCUGCAUUGUACUGACAUGCAACUCUAGUCAACGCUGCUCCAAGGACUCUGUGGCCAUAGAAUAUCUGGGCCAUUCCUUUAUUUAAGAAGCAUCUCACUGUGCCUUUAUCCAGCCACAAGGCUGAAAAAGAGCAAGAUUGUGUGGCAUUGCAUCACUUCCUGGGAUGAUAUAUACUCUCUCACAGGCAUAUGACGCAGUCAUACUUAGCACCUUUUACCACAAGAAGAAGGGAUCACCCAUUUAGGACUGAGAUGAGAAAAAACCUUUCCAUUUAAAAGGCUAUGCUUCUUUAGAAUUCUCCAUCUUAGAGAGUUAAGGAUGCUCAGUUAUUGAGCAUGUAUUGUAGACAGUUUGGUCAGUUUUUGGGAAUGAAAGGAAUCUAGGAGAGAACAUGAGAUAGUAUGAUUGGCGAACUUGACGUAAAUGAUCUCAAUAAAUGCGGAGGGCAGACUCAACGAACCAAAUGGUCUGACUACUCCUACUUCUCAAUUUCUUGUAUUCGGAAAAGGUUAAUGGCAUACUCAGGAGGUACUUGAAGAGGAAUAGUAGUUUAGGGGCCCAGUCAAUAAUUGCAAAUGACUAGAACAACACAGAUCCUUCGCUCCUCAGUGCUGCCCCUAUCCAACUGCAGUUGCUAUUGUGCCAACAUAGUUUCCAGUCUCCCCGAACACUACUGCAAAGGUUAUUGGCAGGGAAAACAAACACAGGAUUUAGGCGCAGGAGUGGGCAGUUCGCUCUUCAAGCCUCCUCUGCUAUUCAGUAAGAUCAGGACUGAGCUGGUUGCAGUCUCAACUCCAUUGUGUUAGUUCUAGACAGGAACUCAAGGUGGAGGUAAACUUACAUUAAACAGAGGAAACAAUGUCUGGAUUGACAGCAGCAUUUAGAGAAGACAAUUAACAGUUAUAGUAAGAUAGGAGAGGGAUCGUGUUUGGUUGCAGCAUCUUGCAGUGGAAAGGGGUACAUUGAUGGCAGCAAAAAGAAGAAAUGAAAGGUAAUGAAGAAAGCCAUAGAGUGAUGGAUGGGCAUUGAAACAAAUUGGAUGGCAACGAAGGAGAGUGAAUGGUCCAGGAUGGUGCACCCUCAGUGAAACUGCAGCCUUGCAAACCUUGUCCCCACAUCUGAUAUUUGAAAAUUAAAAUUUUGAAUUAAUAUGAAAAUUCUGUAUUUAUAAUUUCAUUUUACAUGACAAAGAAUAUUAAAAUACUGAUUGCACAUUCUCAUUGUUUAACACGUUUCACAGGAUAUGUACUAUAAGAAGUGCAGAUUAUAAUGUGGCUCACAUGAACCAAUGCUUGUAGAAUUACAGUUCAAUGACAUGAAGAUGAACAUCUGAGAUAAACCUGAUGUUAUUCUGGCCUCAGUAGUUAGGUGUUAAUACUCUUAGAAUUUGUGCAGCACAGAGCAUGUUUUUCUGUAAUUUUACCAUCAUGUAUAGUCUGUUAAUAAACAUUGUUUAAAAGUAA
Rhincodon typus (whale shark) is the source of this 2991-nucleotide long non-coding RNA. RefSeq lists it as uncharacterized. The transcript is spliced from 2 exons. The record is from RefSeq and is a predicted model, not a curated record. Lineage: Eukaryota; Metazoa; Chordata; Chondrichthyes; Orectolobiformes; Rhincodontidae.